GAUGAACGCUAGCUACAGGCUUAACACAUGCAAGUCGAGGGGUAGCAGGGUAGCAAUACCGCUGACGACCGACGCACGGGUGAGUAACACGUAUCCAACCUUCCCAUUACUCAGGGAUAGCCUUUCGAAAGAAAGAUUAAUACCUGAUGGUACUUUAUUAGGGCAUCCUAGUGAAGUUAAAGAUUUAUCGGUAAUGGAUGGGGAUGCGUUCCAUUAGAUAGUUGGUGAGGUAACGGCUCACCAAGUCUUCGAUGGAUAGGGGUUCUGAG
RNAcentral lists this ribosomal RNA (269 nucleotides) under uncultured bacterium. RNAcentral describes it as "partial 16S ribosomal RNA". It matches the Rfam family "Bacterial small subunit ribosomal RNA", at positions 28 to 296 of the family's 1533-position model. The record is from RNAcentral.